RNAcentral lists this ribosomal RNA (464 nucleotides) under uncultured bacterium. RNAcentral's name for it is "partial 16S ribosomal RNA". It matches the Rfam family "Bacterial small subunit ribosomal RNA", at positions 338 to 795 of the family's 1533-position model. The record is from RNAcentral.
CCUACGGGUGGCAGCAGUGGGGAAUCUUCCGCAAUGGGCGAAAGCCUGACGGAGCAACGCCGCGUGAUCGAAUGAAGGCCUUCGGGUUGUAAAGAUCUGUUGACAGGGACGAAUAAGCCAUGCGAAUAGUUUGGUGUAUGACGGUACCUGUUUAGAAAGCUCCGGCCAACUACGUGCCAGCAGCCGCGGUAAUACGUAGGGAUCAAGCGUUGUCCGGAAUUACUGGGCGUAAAGGGCGCGUAGGUGGGUGCUUUAGUCAGGUGUGAAAACUCUGGGCUCAACCUGGGGACUGCACUUGAAACUGGGUAUCGUGAGGGAAGGAGAGGAAGGUGGAAUUCCUGGUGUAGCGGUGAAAUGCGUAGAUAUUAGGAGGAACACCAGUGGCGAAGGCGACUUUCUGGACUGUAACUGACGCUGAGGCGCGAAAGCGUGGGUAGCGAACGGGAUUAGAUACCCGAGUAGUC